This 447-nucleotide ribosomal RNA is filed under the name uncultured bacterium. RNAcentral describes it as "bacterial SSU rRNA". It matches the Rfam family "Bacterial small subunit ribosomal RNA", at positions 355 to 825 of the family's 1533-position model. The record is from RNAcentral.
UGGGGAAUUUUGGACAAUGGGCGCAAGCCUGAUCCAGCCAUGCCGCGUGGAUGAUGAAGGCCUUAGGGUUGUAAAAUCCUUUCGUGGGGGACGAUAAUGACGGUACCCCAAGAAGAAGCUCCGGCUAACUUCGUGCCAGCAGCCGCGGUAACACGUACUGUGCGAACGUUAUUCGGAAUCACUGGGCUUAAAGGGUGCGUAGGCGGCGAUACAAGUCAGGUGUGAAAUGCCGGAGCUCAACUGCGGCAUUGCGCUUGAAACUGUGUUGCUGGAGUAUUUCAGGGGUGUGGGGAACUGCCAGUGGAGCGGUGAAAUGUGUUGAUAUUGGCAGGAACACCGGAGGCGAAAGCGCCACACUGGGGAAUAACUGACGCUGAGGCACGAAAGCCAGGGGAGCGAACGGGAUUAGAUACCCCUGUAGUCCCUGAGCGGGCUGGCAAGGCGCAU